This 253-nucleotide ribosomal RNA is filed under the name uncultured bacterium. RNAcentral's name for it is "partial 16S ribosomal RNA". It matches the Rfam family "Bacterial small subunit ribosomal RNA", at positions 524 to 776 of the family's 1533-position model. The record is from RNAcentral.
UACGAAGGGUGCAAGCGUUGUUCGGAAUUAUUGGGCGUAAAGAGCGCGUAGGCUGCUCGUUAAGUCACUUGUGAAAUCCCUCGGCUCAACCGAGGAACUGCAAGUGAUACUGGCGGGCUAGAGUGUCGGAGGGGAUAGUGGAAUUUCCAGUGUAGGGGUGAAAUCCGUAGAUAUUGGAAGGAACACCUGUGGCGAAGGCGACUAUCUGGACGAUUACUGACGCUGAGGCGCGAAAGCAUGGGUAGCAAACAGG